This 253-nucleotide ribosomal RNA is filed under the name uncultured bacterium. Its description in RNAcentral is "partial 16S ribosomal RNA". It matches the Rfam family "Bacterial small subunit ribosomal RNA", at positions 524 to 776 of the family's 1533-position model. The record is from RNAcentral.
UACGUAGGCAGCAAGCGUUGUUCGGAAUUACUGGGCGGAAAGAGUGUGUAGGCGGUGCUCUAAGUCUGUUGUGAAAUCUCCCGGCUUAACCGGGAGGGUGCGGCGGAAACUGGAGUGCUUGAGGGUGGGAGAGGUAAGCGGAAUUCCUGGUGUAGCGGUGAAAUGCGUAGAUAUCAGGAGGAACACCUGUGGUGUAGACAGCUUACUGGACCACUUCUGACGCUGAGACACGAAAGCGUGGGUAGCAAACAGG